RNAcentral lists this ribosomal RNA (550 nucleotides) under Salmonella enterica subsp. enterica serovar Montevideo str. 609458-2. RNAcentral's name for it is "bacterial LSU rRNA". It matches the Rfam family "Bacterial large subunit ribosomal RNA", at positions 227 to 816 of the family's 2925-position model. Lineage: Bacteria; Pseudomonadati; Pseudomonadota; Gammaproteobacteria; Enterobacterales; Enterobacteriaceae. The record is from RNAcentral.
AACCGAGAUUCCCCCAGUAGCGGCGAGCGAACGGGGAGGAGCCCAGAGCCUGAAUCAGCAUGUGUGUUAGUGGAAGCGUCUGGAAAGGCGCGCGAUACAGGGUGACAGCCCCGUACACAAAAGCGCAUGUGCUGUGAGCUCGAUGAGUAGGGCGGGACACGUGGUAUCCUGUCUGAAUAUGGGGGGACCAUCCUCCAAGGCUAAAUACUCCUGACUGACCGAUAGUGAACCAGUACCGUGAGGGAAAGGCGAAAAGAACCCCGGCGAGGGGAGUGAAAAAGAACCUGAAACCGUGUACGUACAAGCAGUGGGAGCACAGGUUUACCUGUGUGACUGCGUACCUUUUGUAUAAUGGGUCAGCGACUUAUAUUCUGUAGCAAGGUUAACCGAAUAGGGGAGCCGGAGGGAAACCGAGUCUUAAUUGGGCGUUAAGUUGCAGGGUAUAGACCCGAAACCCGGUGAUCUAGCCAUGGGCAGGUUGAAGGUUGGGUAACACUAACUGGAGGACCGAACCGACUAAUGUUGAAAAAUUAGCGGAUGACCUGUGGCU